This 1417-nucleotide ribosomal RNA is filed under the name Anoplolepis gracilipes. RNAcentral's name for it is "16S ribosomal RNA". Lineage: Eukaryota; Metazoa; Arthropoda; Insecta; Hymenoptera; Formicidae. The record is from RNAcentral.
GUGAUAAAUAUUAUAAAUUAUUAAAUAAAAUUAUAUUAAAAAGAAAAAGUUUUAGUAAGAUUUUAAAAUAAUUAUUUUAAUUUUAAAGAUAGUAAUGUAAAUGAAAAUAAAAAAAAUUUUUAAAAGUAAUUUUAAUUAAGUGUACCUUUUGUAUCAGGGUUUAUUAAAAAAAAAUUAUUGAUAAAUAAAUUUCUCGAAAGAAAAAGAGUUAAAUAAAUAAAUAAAAUUUAAUAUAAAAAAAUUAUUUUUAAUAUUUAUUUAGAGAAGAUAUUUUAAUCAAUUUUUUUGAUAUCUAGUUUUUUUUGAUAUAAAUUUAAUUUAGAUAUAAAUUUAAAUAUGUAAAUUUUUAUUAAAGUUUGAGAUAAUUUUUAUUUAUAAUAGGUAUUAAUUUAUAUUAAAAAUUUAUGGGAUAAUCUAUAAAUUAAUUUUAAAAUUUAAAAAAUUUAUUAAUAUUAUUUAUUUAUAAAAAUUUUAUAAAAAUGGUUUUAAAAUUUAAAAUUUUUUGAAAAAAUUUAAUAAUUUAUUUAUUUUAAUAUAAUUUAAUUAUGAUUUUAAAAUUAAAAUAAAUUUAAUAAGUUAAAAAAAUAUUUUUAUUAAUUUAAAUUAAAAAUUAAUAAUGAUAAAAUUAGUAUUAUUUAUAAAAUAUAUUUUUAAAAUAUUUAAAAAUAAUUAAUUUAUAUUUAAUUAAAGAAUUAGGCAAAAUAAAUUUAUUUAAUAUAUUUAAAUAAAAUUAAGCUCACCUGUUUAAUAAAAACAUGGUUUUUAGAAAAUAAUUAAAGAUUUGUUCUGCUCAAUGAUAAAUAUUAAAUAGCCGCAGUAAUUUGACUGUGCUAAGGUAGCAUAAUCAUUUGUCUUUUAAUUGGAGGCUGGAAUGAAGGAAUGGAUGAAGUUUAAGCUUUUUAAAUUAAAUAAUAAAAAUUUAAAUUUUGAAUAAAAAUGUUUAGAUGAUAUUAUGGGACGAUAAGACCCUAUAGAAUUUAAUAUAAUUUUUAUUAAUGUAAGAUUAGUUUGUAAAUUUAGUAUAAAAUUAUAUUUGGUUGGGAGGAUAGAAAAAUUUUAUAAACUUUUUAAUUUUAUUUAAUAAAUAAAUCAUUUAUUUAUGAAAAUAUGAAUAAGUUUUUAAAAAAAAAAUUAUUGAAAAAUUAAUUACCUUAGGGAUAACAGCGUAAUAUUUUUUUUAAGAUCAUAUUAUAAAAAAUGAUUGCGACCUCGAUGUUGAAUUAAAAUAAAAAUUAAAUGGAAAAAUUUAAUUAUUUAGUCUGUUCGACUAUUAAAAUUUUACAUGAUUUGAGUUUAGAUCGGCGUGAGCCAGAUCGGAUUUUAUCUAUAAUUAAAAUGUAAAUAAAUUUGUACGAAAGGACUUUUUAUUUGAAAUUUUUUUUUUAUAAAGAAUUAUAUUAAUUUUAUAAAAUUAUGA